GAUGAACGCUGGCGGCGUGCUUAACACAUGCAAGUCGAACGGAAAGGCUCCUGCUUGCAGGGGUACUCGAGUGCGAACGGGUGAGUAACACGUGGGUGAUCUGCCCUGCACUUCGGGAUAAGCCUGGGAAACUGGGUCUAAUACCGGAUAGGACGAUGGUUUGGAUGCCAUUGUGGAAAGUUUUUCGGUGUGGGAUGAGCUCGCGGCCCAUCAGCUUGUUGGUGGGGUAAUGGCCUACCAAGGCGUCGACGGGUAGCCGGCCUGAGAGGGUGUACGGCCACAUUGGGACUGAGAUACGGCCCAGACUCCUACGGGAGGCAGCAGUGGGGAAUAUUGCACAAUGGGCGCAAGCCUGAUGCAGCGACGCCGCGUGGAGGAUGACGGCCUUCGGGUUGUAAACUCCUUUCGCUAGGGACGAAGCGCAAGUGACGGUACCUGGAGAAGAAGCACCGGCUAACUACGUG
RNAcentral lists this ribosomal RNA (464 nucleotides) under uncultured bacterium. Its description in RNAcentral is "partial 16S ribosomal RNA". It matches the Rfam family "Bacterial small subunit ribosomal RNA", at positions 28 to 507 of the family's 1533-position model. The record is from RNAcentral.